GAUCAGAAGAGAGAUUUUUCUCCUGACUUGUUAAAUGAUUGGAAAACACACUUCUCAUAUUAUGAAUUGCUCAUGAUUUUGCUUUUAAGAAUUCCCACCUGCAAGGCUGGGCAGCUGGGGAGGGUGAAUUGCACAGUGGGGCCUGAUGACACAGUUCCUUCCUUUUGCUGCCUUGCACAUAUUGGCUUCUCUCAGAGGCCAGAAGUCUAGUGGCACAUGUGGCUCCUUCAGCCACAGGGUCCUAGCUGCCUGAGUCUUUGUAUGUGGGAAUUGCUGUUAUUAUUUCUUUCAGGAACCUGUCUCUGUGCUUUGAACCAGCCAAACCAGACUCCUCUCUAGGACAAUAUUUGAUUAGGAAUGUUUCCGUCUCAUGACAGGCCAUGCUGUAAGGAUUGAAGAAUGACCAAAUUGAUCUGGGUUCUAAAAACUUAAUCAAGCAUCUUCCUAAAUGGGAUUACUCACAUUCCUGAGGCAUGUGAAGCAGAACUGGAAUCUGCUCCUACAUUUUAGCUGGAAGCUCUGAAAGUUUUUUUACCAGCCUUUUGGGGAAAAUGCCAGAUGUCCACAUGGACAAAGAAGUAACCUUCCUAGGAGGGUUGGCAAUCGGAGUGCAUGAAUGGAGUCACAGAUUGUACUUUGGAGCCGGAGUGGGACAGUUGCUGGCUCUGGAGGUGUCAUUGAGAGGUUGCUUGUCACAUGGCUUUUGUCAAAGUGUCAGGCCAUGAAAAGCCUGGGUCCUAGAAUUUCUGGGUAACUGGGUGUAGAGCUAGGGCUAAAGCAGCUUUAAACCUUCUGCUGAAUUAAUGACAGUCAUUGUUUGUCUAUUAACUCCUGGGUAUGGGUGCAGAUCCUUGACUGCUAAACCAGGGAGAAUAGAAAGGCCUUCUCCACUGAGAGCCAUUGACCCAUUGCUGAUGUAUUUUCUGGGUCUUAUUUGGACAGGCUUCAGAUUGACUAUGUUAGCCCAAGUAAUGCAAAAACUUCCUUCCAGAAACCAGAACUCUUGGAUUUACUCAAAUGCCUUUUUGGCAAAGGAAUGUGAUUGUUUUGUUUCCUUUUCCUCAUUCCAGGGAAGCUGGUCAGUGGCUCCCUAAGUCAAGGUUGGAAGGGGCAUCUCUGGGAGAUGGGAGGGUGGGAUGCAAAUGCAGGAAGAGGGGUAUGAUCUCCAGUGUUCCUUCUUCAAAGAGACCUUUCAUGGCCACCCAAUGUGAUAUAUCCGCUACCCCAGAAUGUAAACUCCAGUGGAAUAAAGAUUUCAUCUGUCUUGUCUCCCCUCUGUCCUCAGCAGUGAGACAGUGACAAAUCUAUGAUGGAAGAUAUCAGAAAAUCAGACCUACUCUGAAUGAUCCAGGACAUCAUCAUGAACAAUGGUUAUUAUAUUGGACUUUAAUCCAGAUCAACUGCAACACAAACCAUUGUGAUUGUUGAAUUUUUGGCUCUGCAUUUUAUGGCUUUUCUCUCUUCAUUUUGUCCAGAUUAUCACCUCUUUCUUUCUGUCAUCAAAGACCUAUAACAAUCAUUCUCCUACUCUUUAUUUAAAAGUUUGAUAAAAUUGGAUAGUUGAGCUUUGGAGAGAUUAAUAUGAAAUACAAGGCUGUGCCUGAGAAAUAAGGGACUGUCUUGGCUAUGUAAGUGUUAAAACAUCCUUGGUGGCAUUUAUUUAACUUAAUUUAACAAUUUUUUCUGUCCCUAGUUUGUAGAGGACAAAUUAGGGGUAUUUUGGUUGCAAGCAACAGAAACUAAGGUUGGUUAUCUAAAGAGAAAAUGAGACUUUUUUGAGCCCUGUGCGGGCACUCAUAGAAUGGAAAGGAUUGUAUAUUACCAAGGACCUAUAGUUUACACAAAGAAAUUAGGUUAAAAAUAGUUUAGUACUCUGAGAACUAUAAGACAUCAUAGAUAAAAGAAAUUGAAGAUGACACAAAUAAAUGGAAAGAUAUGCCAUGCUCAUGGAUGGAAGAAUUAAUAUUGUUAAA
Manis javanica (Malayan pangolin) is the source of this 1973-nucleotide non-coding RNA. Lineage: Eukaryota; Metazoa; Chordata; Mammalia; Pholidota; Manidae. The record is from RefSeq and is a predicted model, not a curated record.